GACGAACGCUGGCGGCGUGCUUAACACAUGCAAGUCGAACGAUGAAGUUCUUUCGGGAAUGGAUUAGUGGCGAACGGGUGAGGAACACUUGAGAAACCUGCCUUUCAUUUUGGGAUAACUCCGGGAAACCGGGGCUAAAACCGAAUACUCCGUCUUGGCGGCAUCGCUGAGCCGGGAAAAAAUUUUGAUGAAAGAUGGUCUCGCGGCCUAUCAGCUAGUUGGUGAGGUAAUGGCUCACCAAGGCGACGACGGGUAGCCGGCCUGAGAGGGCGGCCGGCCACACUGGGACUGAGACACGGCCCAGACUCCUACGGGGGGCAGCGGUGGGGAAUAUUGGGCAAUGGGCGCAAGCCUGACCCAGCGACGCCGCGUGAGGGAUGAAGGCCUUCGGGUUGUAAACCUCUUUCAAUAGGGAAGAAGCGAAAGUGACGGUACCUAAAGAAGAAGCACCGGCUAACUAUGUGCCAGCAGCCGCGGCAAUACAUAGGGUGCAAGCGUUGUCCGGAAUUAUUGGGCGUAAAGAGCUCGUAGGUCGUCUGCCGCGUCGAUUGUGAAAAUCUGAGGCUCAACCUCGGACCUGCAGUCGAUACGGGCAAACUAGAGUGUGGUAGGGGAGACUGGAAUUCCUGGUGUAGCGGUGGAAUGCGCAGAUAUCAGGAGGAACACCAAUGGCGAAGGCAGGUCUCUGGGCCAUAACUGACACUGAGGAGCGAAGGCGCGGGGAGCGAACAGGAUUAGAUACCCUGGUAGUCCGCGCCGUAAACGAUGGGCACUAGCUGUGAGAGCCUUCCACGGUUCUCGCGACGCAGCCAAACGCAUUAAGUGCCCCGCCUGGGGAGUACGAUCGCAAGAUUA
RNAcentral lists this ribosomal RNA (855 nucleotides) under uncultured bacterium. RNAcentral's name for it is "bacterial SSU rRNA". It matches the Rfam family "Bacterial small subunit ribosomal RNA", at positions 28 to 896 of the family's 1533-position model. The record is from RNAcentral.